RNAcentral lists this long non-coding RNA (333 nucleotides) under Phaseolus vulgaris (common bean). RNAcentral's name for it is "long non-coding RNA (PVUL_LNC005312)". Lineage: Eukaryota; Viridiplantae; Streptophyta; Magnoliopsida; Fabales; Fabaceae. The record is from RNAcentral.
AACUUGAUGUCAACAUGGGUCAACUCAAUUCGAAUCUUGCUUGGGUCGACACAAUCGACUUAGGUUGAUAGAACUCGAUUAGUGCUCGGGCCUAGUUGACUUGACAUGUGUCUGAGCCAAUUCUAACUAUAGUUGGUUCGGGUUGAUUUGACUUGACCUAUGCCCGAGCUGACUGUGCUUGACAUAGACUUGGACUAACUUUAAUCAACUUUGGCCCGAGCCGUCUUGGCUCGACUUAGGGUUGGUUCGACAUUACUUGACUUAGGUAUGGCCAAUGCCUACUUGGCUUGACCUGGGCUCGAGCUAAAUUGAUUCACUGGACUUGACCUAUUC